Molecule: unclassified non-coding RNA, 324 nt
Organism: Dipodomys ordii (Ord's kangaroo rat)
Lineage: Eukaryota; Metazoa; Chordata; Mammalia; Rodentia; Heteromyidae
Gene: 7SK
Rfam family: 7SK RNA
About the family: 7SK was discovered as an abundant small nuclear RNA in the mid-70s but a possible function has only recently been suggested. Two independent studies have found that 7SK RNA binds the CDK9/cyclin T complex (known as elongation factor P-TEFb).
Source: Ensembl
AGAUGUGAGGGCUGUCUGGCUGUGACAUCUGUCACCCCAUUGGUUGCCAGAGUUGACUCAGCUGGUCUGGCUGGCUAGGUGGUGUCCCUUCCUCCCUCACCCUCCCUUGUGUGUCCUUCCCGAAGCUGCAUGCUCUGUGGAGGAGGGCGACCAUCUCUGAUAAGAGGACUGGUCUUUGUUGAAGGGAUACGAGUAGCUGUGCUCCUCUGUUAGAACCUUCAAACAAACUCUUGAAAAUGUAAAGAUGCUGUUAGUGGAUGAACAAGAUGUAGUACCUACACUCAAUGGAGCAUCAGUCACUAUUUACAAAGGAAGGAAAUAUGU